RNAcentral lists this long non-coding RNA (1446 nucleotides) under Sus scrofa (pig). RNAcentral's name for it is "lncRNA (ENSSSCG00065004277.1)". The record is from RNAcentral. Lineage: Eukaryota; Metazoa; Chordata; Mammalia; Artiodactyla; Suidae.
GGAGGAAGUGGAGGAGGAGGAAGGAGAGAAUGACCUUGGAGAUCCAGCUGUCCUCAGCGCUGUCCAUAACACCCAGAAAGGUCUUCUCAGCUCCCCUGGAAUCAAGGCCUCUGGUGUCCUGGGGAUGUCACCUGCCUCCUUGCACUUUCAGUGGCAGCCUGCCUUUCCCAGUGCCAGCUCUCCCACCAAGUACUUUGGACCUCCACUGCCCUCGCCAGACCCACCUCUCCUCGGCAGCCCAUCGACCUCGUGGCCCCUUAGGCUCAGUUUUCCCAGUCAUCUGACCCAGCUCCACCCUCAGCACCAGCGGAUCUUGAAGCAGCAGCAAUCUAGUCAACCACCAAGGUAAAGCUUAGAGGAGAAUUAGGGUUUGGGGGAGCCCCCUGCAUGCUGAGUUCCCUUGUUCCUUCUUCUGGGAUGCCUUCCCCAUAGCCCUGCCAGCAAAGCCUCCCAUACAGUGGCCCACCUCUGCACUCCCUCCCAUCCUUCUUGACAUCCUGCUCCCUGCUCACCACUUCUUGGAGAGUUUGCUGUUGGAGGGGUUUAAAUUCUAACAGGACACUUGGCCUGGCUUGAAGUUCCCCAGCCAAGGAGCCUUGGUCUCAGCAGCCAGACCCUUAUGCUAACCUCAUGAGCCAAAAAGAGAAGGACUGGGUGGUAAAAGUGCAGAUGGUUCAGCUGCAGAGUGAGAACCCCCGCCUGGAUGACUAUUACUACCAGGUGAGCCCAGGGGCCCUGCACAACCUCUGAUCUUGGGAUCAAGUGGGCCUGACUUCAUGCGUCCUCAGAGAUUCUCCCUUCAGCUCACCAGGGCCAUGUGCCUUCAGGUGGGAGAGAUGAUUGCUAACAGAUGGGGGCUGUAUUUCUACAGCUGAUUUCCAAACUCCUUCCUCUUCUACUCCUACAUUUCAGCCAAAUGGGAUUAUUUAUGAUUCCCCAAACACACUCUGAGGUUUUUGUCUCCAUCCUUUGCCAGGCAUUUCCCCUCUUCAGUCUUCAAAUGAGGACUUUCUCAUGUGGGUACACUUUGGUUUGUCUUGGAAAUGACUUGUUUUAAAUAUCCAUCUACUUUUACUUUUUAAGAUCUAAAACACAAAAGAAGUAAUAAGCGGUGGGGUUCAAAUUUCUUGAACACAUGCUGGCAGGCUUUGGGACUCCUUUCUGCCUGCUUCCUAUCUGCCCUUUGUCCAUGAGUUUAUGAAUUGCCUACAUUCAACUCCAGAGGCCCCUGUCAAGGUUCCCACCUUUUAGCUCCUUCUUCUGGAUAGUAGUUUCUUCCUUUGUUUGCACCAGGCUUCCAAACUCUUCUCCUUCUGGGAGUUCCCUGGCGGUCUAUUGGUAAGAUUCUGCACAUUCACCACUGCAGCCUGGCAAUCCCUGCUCUGGGAGCUGAGAUCCCACAUCAAGGUGUUGCAAGGUGCAGCCCGAAGAAAAAAAAAGAAAAAA